Parus major (Great Tit) is the source of this 3068-nucleotide long non-coding RNA. RefSeq lists it as uncharacterized. NCBI's taxonomy places the organism in Eukaryota, Metazoa, Chordata, Aves, Passeriformes, Paridae. The record is from RefSeq and is a predicted model, not a curated record. The transcript has 2 exons.
AGAAGAAAAAGGUCUGAGCAAAAUAACAUAAACCUGUCCUUGAAUACCUGCUUGAAUGUAAUUCAGGGGUUUAUAUCAUCUCAUUUUUCUGAGCAAUACGUUUUUCUUCUGAAUUACUAGUUGGAAUGUUUACAUAAUUUUCUCUUUCCUCUAGCAUAUCUAUUGGAUUUUCAAGCAGUCUUUCUCCUUCAAACUAAGUGAAAAGUUAAAACCCUAAAAUUGUACGGGUCUCAUACUUCAUUUUCCUUGCAUUUGCACAUCUUAGGUGAAGCAAGUUUGGUGGGCUGCCUUCUUCAUUAUUCCAUUCUGAGAUGAGAAUGAGGCCUCUUAUUUUCCUGACUAGCUCACCCCUACAAGCUGAUAAUUGCUGGCUCUUAGGAAGAGCUGCAUGUUAUUGCUUAGGGUGAGAAGCAUUCAGCCUCUUGUGUUUUCCCCUUGAAGUAGCACAUGUUGCUGAAUUUUAAGUUGGUGUUGGCCUAGCUAAUCAGGGGCCUAUAGCUAUUGCAGUAAGGCUUCAGCCACUUAAAAUACUCUCAGAUCUUCCCAGGGACUGGGUUGGUGCUGGUAAAGACAGUACUGAUUGGUGCUGGCAAAGAUAUUAUCUAGCCCCACCACUUGUACCCUUCAUCACUAGAAGUCAUAACACAAAGAUCCAAAAUGAGGAAAUGGUGAAUUAGCUCCUGAAAAGUGCCAGCGGAAAACCAAAUUUGGUGAAAGGAUCUUCACAUUAGUUCACAUGUUGUUAACAUGGGCAUAUACAGAGGAUUUCAGCUUCUUGGCUGUUUCUGCUUGGAUUCAGCCUUCAGCACUGAGAAGUGUACUUCUUAGUGUGUCUCUGCUUGCUCAGAUUGCUUCCUCUAAAUUCUCCAUGGCUUGGCAAAGGGUCUAUGUGGCCCUGUAGCAACCCCAGUCAGGCAGACACACACCCUUACUGCCUUUGAGGCAGGCAGCAGCAGUGCUGUUAAGGACAGGCAGGCAAAUGCAGGAAAGUGGGGAAUAUCAAUGCUAAGGCAGGAGCUUCAGUAGAAAAUCUCUGGCCAGCUGCUAUGCAGGAGGACAAGCUGUUCUAUAAUAUUUCUUGCUCAGAUGUGAUGGAUGUUCAAAUGCUUUUACAUAUUUUUGAAGUCAGAAACAAUAUUUAGGAUAAUCUAUAAACUGGUGGACACAAAAUGCUCCAGGAACAACCGAAGGAAGCAACUGAUAUAUCUGCAUUAUCCAGCACAACACAGUUCAGGAGUCUCAUUAGUGUGGAGGGCCUACAGGAAUGGUGCCUCUGAUUAAAUGCCACCAGCUGUCAGUUAACCUAAGAUGAAGAUUAGCAGGCAGGCAGAGACAUCCCAGACAGGUCUGGAAGGAAUCCAUCUGGGCCUGUCAGUCCAGGCACAGCUCUGCCCAGCCCUAUAUGCACUCCCUGGCCAUAUGCACCCUACCCAGCCCUUUGCAGCCUUUCCAAGGCUGUCAGUGUGGCAGAGCAUGAUAGACUGGCUUUGUAGAAGAGCAGCUUGGCUCUGGAAGUAAAUAGCUGUUUGUAGUCGUGGUCUCUUCAGUUCUCCAUGCUUCUUCUUAGCAUGUUGCAGGCUCAUUGCCUUGUGCAGUGGAUGGGGGAGAGGUCUGUGCUGAGACAGCCCUUCCUGGGCAUGGGACAGGGGAGCUGGAGCAAGCACUGAGGGACAGGAAUGUGGUCUCUGGAGGGGUGCUCUGACAGACUUCCUGCGCAUGCCAAGGAGCUCCAGGGAGAAUUCAGCUGACAGGGAACCAAUUUCCUCCCUGCUCUUGCCACUGCAGAAGAAGAUGAGAGAGUGCUUAGGAGACAAGGCCAAGAUCAUUCCGGUUGCAUUACACGGAAUACAACAGACCUGAGCAAUACACUUGGAGCCCUCCUUCUCCUUCCAGGUGCCUUUACACCAGUGUAACUCUAAAGAACUUGGUGGAGCUGCAUCUUUAACAACCAGAGCAGACAGUCUGGACCCCUGGAGCAACAUAAUGGGGGAGCACUAAGGAGGCAGAAUUACUGGUGUCAGUGGAGAAGACAGAUAACCCUACUGAUGUUGUCGUCUUGCAAGGAGAGGGUGAAUUAAAAAAUAGCAUCUAUUCAAAUAUUUAGCACUUGCCCACAGUAGAAUUCAUGUUACCUAACUUCAGCAGACUGAAAGUUGGAAAUGGUAUUCAUCUGCCCAAAUUUAGAUUCCUACAGUGCAAACGUCAACAGCUGAGCAAGUCAUACUGACUCCUUUAUAGGCAAUGGAGAGAAGCAGGCACUUCUGAUGCGUAAGCACAUCUCAUCCUAAAAAAUAUGUCUAAAAGAGAUCCGGCGAGUCACAUGUAGAAAUGGCUUUUUUUCCAUCAGCUAUAAAGAGAAUCCAGACUGUUAUCAUUAUGAUACAGGCUUUUAAAGUUCAGCAAGAUUGAUCUCUCUCCUGGUAUCUAAUUUACACUGGUCAUUCUUGUUCCCUCGUCAUGUUGGCAGAGAGAAGCUGUCGCUUCCAGAGGUCCUGGUUAUCUUGGCCAUCUCCCUGAGCUACAGAAAAGCUGGUAUGAGCUGCCUUCCAGUGGUAUUUGCUGCUGGGGGGGGGAGUGGAAGCCUCUGGGAUUGCUGAGGAGUAUGAGCUGAGAGGAUUGACAUUAUUUCAGCCAUUCUUCAUUCCCAUGUCUAUUUAUGUGGGUUUAAAAUGUUGUCUCCAGAUGUAUGGAAGGCUUAUAAGGACAGUAUCAGACAGGACAAGAGGGCAAAGACAAGUGUACUCUGAAUCUGUUUUUUGUAUGUGUCAUUUAAGCCACUGCCUUCUCUGAAGUUUUCCCCUUCCUCUGUCAGUAGCUACCACUGUUGAUGUUGGUGAGGGAGAGUAUUUAUUCUAUUUUUUUCUUCAGAGGUGCUAUGUUUUGCACAAAACAACUGGAGACCAAAGCCAGUGUGCCUUCCUCUCCCAAAGUCAGAACAUUGCUUGAUCAAUCCCAAACACUACACUUGGGAGAAAAUGCAAAAAAAUAACCAAAAAACAUAAAACUGAGGAGGCAUAGGAAGGCACAACAAUGAAUAGGAUAUUAGAGAUAAUAAAACUGGAAAUGUU